Populus euphratica (Euphrates poplar) is the source of this 1350-nucleotide long non-coding RNA. RefSeq lists it as uncharacterized. The record is from RefSeq and is a predicted model, not a curated record. Lineage: Eukaryota; Viridiplantae; Streptophyta; Magnoliopsida; Malpighiales; Salicaceae. The transcript has 2 exons.
UGGUUGAUGCAUACUCACUAUUUUUGCACAUAUGUUGAUAAUGUUUUACAUUUAUCUACUCAUUAUACCUCUGCUUAUGCAGCUCUAUUACACUGUUUUGGUUCCCUCUUGGCACUCUGAUCAUGGUUAUGGAGGGAGCUAAACUUCUGCUUUACAUAUAAAUGAUGAAAGUGAUUGUGAUGGUGAUGAUUAUAAUACCUACAAAAAAAAACCUCUAAAAUAAUCAGUUUACAAUAAUAAUUAUAAUACAAAAACAAAAUAAUGCAGGGCUAGGUUAUCCAUUUGUCAAUUUUGGGACUUGGGAUGAUGAACUUAGCGACUUUGUCUUCUUCCCAUCUUCGUUCAAGUCACGGUUCCUAGCUAGUCUUUUAGCGUUUUCUACCUUACAUUACACCAGUUAUCUAAAACUUUAAGGCGAGGGUUUGUGCAAUUAAUAUCUGCACUCAUUUCCAGCUUUAACUCUGAUAUUUUACCCUCUUUUCAGGUUGCUGUGUUUCCACGCUUCCUCCAUUGUUUCCACUAAAAUAUCUCAAGUGGCCAUUUUAGAUUUGUUUUCUAGAUCACAGCAGAAUCUUUUCAGAUUUUAACGUGUUCAUGGAAUUUACAGUGAAAUAAUUAUCCAGUAUAUGUUGCCAUAUAUCUCAGCAUAGUAUGAGGAGGUCCCAGGUUUGAUGCAGCUUCUUGUGUUCCUUAAUUUGGUUAACAGACAAAGAUAUAAAGGAAAUGAUAUCUUAGACAUUUGGAAAGACAUGCUUAAGUUAGGUGAUGAGCAGGUUGAGGACUAGUUUUGUAGCUAUAUCAGUGGUUCCAUGCGAAUCUACCACAUAAUUUUGCUCAAACCCAGGCAAUGUGUGCUAGGAGCAUUUCUUGUUCUAGUUAUCUAAGAACAAGUAUUAGGUAUUCAUCAAUUCUAACGUUUGUACUUGGUUGAACUUAUCUUCAUCUUGUGAAUAAUCGCAGGUUGCCACCACAUUGGGAUUGUGACUUGCGUGUCAAUGGCCACAAGAAGUUCGCGAAGCUUAAUGGAGAUAAGCCAGCAAAGACAAGAGAGGAGACGACAUCAUUUGUAGUGGCCGGAAUUCAUGGAGGAGGGUUACCGACAUUUCACCAGUCCUUUACCUUUUCUACACUUGUACGAGGACAAAUUUUAACCCCUUCUUUUCGUAUCUGGAAUGCCUUUUUGCAUAUGUAAUCAGAGAGGUUUUCCCUUCUUUUUUUGUUUUUUUUUUUUUAUAAGGUUGUCAUGUAAUGUUUGGAUAUUCACAAUGAUAGAAUUCUCCUUUUGAUUCGAGCAGGUGUUUACUUUGUAUACAAUGUAUAGCUAUAAAACCCGCCGCACCGAUGAGUUGA